This 716-nucleotide ribosomal RNA is filed under the name uncultured bacterium. RNAcentral's name for it is "bacterial SSU rRNA". It matches the Rfam family "Bacterial small subunit ribosomal RNA", at positions 9 to 756 of the family's 1533-position model. The record is from RNAcentral.
GAGUUUGAUCCUGGCUCAGAGUCAACGCUGGCGGCGCGCUUAACACAUGCAAGUCGAACGAGAAAGGGGAGCAAUCCCUGAGUAAAGUGGCGCACGGGUGAGUAACACGUGGGUAAUCUACCCUUGGGUGGGGAAUAACCCUGGGAAACCGGGGCUAAUACCGCAUAAGCCUGGAAAGGGAAAGGCGAAAGUCGCCGAAGGAGGAGCCCGCGGCUGAUUAGCUAGUUGGUAGGGUAAAGGCCUACCAAGGCUUCGAUCGGUAGCCGGCCUGAGAGGGCACACGGCCACACUGGCACUGAAACACGGGCCAGACUCCUACGGGAGGCAGCAGUGGGGAAUCUUGCACAAUGGGGGAAACCCUGAUGCAGCGACGCCGCGUGAGCGAUGAAGCCCUUCGGGGUGUAAAGCUCUUUCGACCGGAACGAUAAUGACGGUACCGGGAGAAGAAGCUGCGGCUAACUACGUGCCAGCAGCCGCGGUAAUACGUAGGCAGCGAGCGUUGUUCGGAGUUACUGGGCGUAAAGCGUGCGUAGGCGGUUUUCUAAGUCUGGUGUGAAAUCUCCCGGCUUAACCGGGAGGGUGCGCCGGAUACUGGAAGGCUUGGAGUGCGGGAGAGGUAAGCGGAAUUCCUGGUGUAGCGGUGAAAUGCGUAGAUAUCAGGAGGAACACCGGCGGUGUAGACGGCUUACUGGACCGUGACUGACGCUGAGGCACGA